This 250-nucleotide ribosomal RNA is filed under the name uncultured bacterium. RNAcentral's name for it is "partial 16S ribosomal RNA". It matches the Rfam family "Bacterial small subunit ribosomal RNA", at positions 1250 to 1500 of the family's 1533-position model. The record is from RNAcentral.
CUACCGGGCGACCGGAUGCGGAUCUCGAAAGCCUGUCCCAGUUCGGACUGGAGUCUGCAACCCGACUACAUGAAGCCGGAAUCGCUAGUAAUCGCGGAUCAGAAUGCCGCGGUGAAUACGUUCCCGGGUCUUGUACACACCGCCCGUCACACCAUGGGAGUUGGAAAUGCCCGAAGUCAGUGGCCCAACCGGAAGGGGGGAGCUGCCGAAGGCAGGUUCGAUGACUGGGGUGAAGUCGUAACAAGGUACC